RNAcentral lists this ribosomal RNA (406 nucleotides) under uncultured bacterium. RNAcentral's name for it is "partial 16S ribosomal RNA". It matches the Rfam family "Bacterial small subunit ribosomal RNA", at positions 30 to 526 of the family's 1533-position model. The record is from RNAcentral.
AUUGAACGCUGGCGGCAGGCCUAACACAUGCAAGUCGAACGAGUGGCGGACGGGUGAGUAAUGUCUGGGAAACUGCCUGAUGGAGGGGGAUAACUACUGGAAACGGUAGCUACUACCGACUACCAUCAGAUGUGCCCAGAUGGAAUUAGCUAGUUGGUGGGGUAACGGCGCACCAAGGCGACAAUCCCUAGCUGGUCUGAGAGGAUGACCAUCCACACUGGAACGGAGACACGGUCCAGACUCCUACGGGAGGCAGCAGUGGGGAAUAUGGCACAAUGGGCGAAAGCCUGAUGCAGCCAUGCCGCGUGUAUGAAGAAGGCCUUCGGGUUGUAAAGUACUUUCAGCGGGGAGGCGUUACCAGCAGAAUAAGCACCGGCUAACUCCGUGCCAGCAGACGCGGUAAUAC